UUUUGUGUUUUACAGAAGGAAAAAGUAAUACAGGUUUGCACUGACAUGAAGAUGAGGUGUGUUCCUUUAAAUUAAUAAGUAUGAAUCUGUUUGGCUGCUGGUUUGAUCGUCAUCCGAAGCGAGUCCUGAGCUCAUCAGUGUCAUGGCCUUGAGCGAGAUACUUAACCUCCAGUUCCUCCAGAGGGACUGAACCUGUAAUAACUUCAUGGCUCUUCUGUGAGUUCUCCUCCUCUCACAGAAUGAUACCACCGUGGUUUCACUCUGGUCCAGCUGAGUGAAUUAACAUGGUCCCAGGCUGCAGAUUAUAUAGCACGUUAACCACUGAAAGAGAUGUGCACCGUUCAGGAAAAAAUCAAUCAAGAUUAGCUUCUCCACCUCUCAAUGGAGCACUGUGAACCUCCUCAGGGGGUAAAGCU
This is a long non-coding RNA of Cyprinus carpio (common carp), 416 nucleotides long. RefSeq lists it as uncharacterized. The transcript is spliced from 3 exons. Lineage: Eukaryota; Metazoa; Chordata; Actinopteri; Cypriniformes; Cyprinidae. The record is from RefSeq and is a predicted model, not a curated record.